This 419-nucleotide ribosomal RNA is filed under the name Acropora sp. RNAcentral's name for it is "partial small subunit ribosomal RNA". It matches the Rfam family "Bacterial small subunit ribosomal RNA", at positions 529 to 1047 of the family's 1533-position model. Lineage: Eukaryota; Metazoa; Cnidaria; Anthozoa; Scleractinia; Acroporidae. The record is from RNAcentral.
UAAGGGCUAGUUUUGUGGGCAAAAGCGUAAAGGGUGUGAUAGGCCGUUUUAAUUAAAAAGGGUUUUAUAAUUUAAGAAGGUAAAUGGAAUUUUUUUGUAGCGGUGGAAUGUGUAAAUAGAAAAAAGAACUUUAGACGUGAAGACUAUUUAUUUUUGAGAUUAUAGUGUGAUGGCUAAAACACGAGAGUAUGGGGAGCAAACAGGAUUAGGGACCCUGGUAGUCUAUACUGUAAAUAAUGAAAAAGAUGUGAAGCAAUCCUAAAAAGUCAGAAAUUUUCCGCUUGAGUAGUACGACCGCAAGGUUAAAAUUCAAAAAACUUGGCUGUUCACUGUUUUAAUUAGAGGAGCGUGUCGUUUAAUUCGAUAGUCCGCGAGAGACCUUACCCAAACUUGAAUCCUUCAUUGACAGGUAUUGCAUG